GACGAACGCCGGCGGCGUGCUUAACACAUGCCAGUCGAACGGAAAGGCCUCUUUCGGGGGGUACUCGAGUGGCGAACGGGUGAGUAACACGUGAGUAACCUGCCCUUGACUUUGGGAUAACUUCAGGAAACUGGGGCUAAUACCGGAUAGGAGCUCCUGCUGCAUGGUGGGGGUUGGAAAGUUUCGGCGGUUGGGGAUGGACUCGCGGCUUAUCAGCUUGUUGGUGGGGUAGUGGCUUACCAAGGCUUUGACGGGUAGCCGGCCUGAGAGGGUGACCGGCCACAUUGGGACUGAGAUACGGCCCAGACUCCUACGGGAGGCAGCAGUGGGGAAUAUUGCACAAUGGGUGGAAGCCUGAUGCAGCAACGCCGUGUGCGGGAUGACGGCCUUCGGGUUGUAAACCGCUUUCGCUCAUGACGAAGCUUUGUGUGACGGUAGUGGGUAAAGAAGCACCGGCUAACUACGUG
This 467-nucleotide ribosomal RNA is filed under the name uncultured bacterium. RNAcentral's name for it is "partial 16S ribosomal RNA". It matches the Rfam family "Bacterial small subunit ribosomal RNA", at positions 28 to 507 of the family's 1533-position model. The record is from RNAcentral.